AUCCACUCCUGGACUUGGGGGAGGGCAGGACUCUGUUCUUCUGUUUAAUCAGUAAUUGGUUAUAUUUCAGCAUUCUAUUUCAGAAAUAUAUGAACUACAAUUUCCCCUUAAGGGUUUUCCUCUCAUCAAGCAAUCAAGCAAAGAAAAAAAAGGCUUAUUUCUGUUGUGGCCGUCUUACAGGUGGGGACAGCAAGAGAAUGGAAAACUGUUGACUAGAGAGAGAUGGCCUGGAGUCUCUCCCACCAGGCUGAGACAUUACAACAAAGGACUCUGAGUGAAAUGUUGAAAGCAUUUGGUGUAGAGGAGCCUCUGUGGCAACACAAUGCAAUCCUAGAGCGUUGGUCUGCCUGCCUUCCUGCCCGCCUGCCUGCUGUAACCUUUACCGGGGCACGCAGUCAGGGGAGCCCCUCUGAAAGCUGAAGGCUAAUUUGUCUACGUCACAUAAAUUAUGGUUGUCUGGAGGGUCUGGAUGAGCGAUCAAUCUUCAACAAAAAGGGCAGUCAAUGAGAUAUUGACUCUUCAAAAGCUACCCACUUAGAGACGGACUGACUGGCUGGCUGGAGAGGAGAGGAGGAGAAGACCCCUUGUGACCUGCCGACCUCUCUCUCUCACGCACGCACGCACGCACGCACGCACGCACGCACGCACGCACGCACGCACGCACACACACACACACACACACACACACACACACACACACACACACACACACACACACACACACAUUAACCCAAUCCCUGUAGUCAAACUGACAAUAUAUGACACUUCAGGGUCAUACAUUUUUUUAUCAAGCUGACAGAGGGUUUCAAAAUCAUACUUCGUCCAACCUAUGUUCCACUCAGUUUCUACACCCACUCUUCUUUAGCCAAUGGGAGAGAGUAUGAUAGGAAGCACAUCAUAGCCACAGGCAUCUGAAUCAGUGAUGAACCAAGCCCUUUUUGUUACAUUCUGUGCAGAACUCUGUCUACACAGGCAGUAUUGUCAGUUUGACAAUUAACCACAUCCUUUAAUUCUAUAUUAAAGAAAACAAAUGUAUACAUGCUUAGGCUGUGGCAUUUCUGAAAUCCCUUGUAGGAUUGUGUCUUUCCUUACCUUGAUUCUUAAAUUCCCCUGUCUAGAUGAUAUUUAUCCUGUCUAUAAAAUUCUGACGCAUACUGUUUUUCUAUCACCUCUCUUUUGCUCUCUCAAAACUGAAUUUACUUUCUGUCCAAUUUUCUAGGAGUAACAAGCUUGCCCUCUUGUGGUUCAACAAGUGAUGCUCAUAACUCUAGUCUGAAUGAUGAUUGGCCAGAGAGUCCAGUCUCCAGAAGGUCCAUCUUCAAGUUAAGCACUCCGAACUACAUUGCAGGCAUUCUGUUAUCAACCAAUGGUUUUGUGCCACGCCAUCAACUGGGCAGCAGUCGAGCAGAAUGCUUUAUCAUAUUAUGGGGUUAUAGCUGAUAUGUUAAAAACACCUAUCCAGGCAUUGUAAGAUCUAGCAGGCGUCUGCAAUUUAGUCAGGCAGGAACUCCCCAAUUAGUAAUUGAGGUCUAGUUCCUGCCUGUCUACAUUGCAGCAAAUGUCAGAUCUUACAAGAUCUGAAUAGGUAAUAAAAUAUAUUAGCCAACCACAUCAUAGUAUAUAGCAAUCUGAUGACAGAAAAAUAUUUGUAAGUAUGGCUUUAGACUAGCAAAAUUAUUUAACCAUUAUAUUAGAUAGAUUAUAGAUAGAUUAAACAGGUAACACACUUAACCAAAAUGGAGGUCUGGUGAAGUGACCAAACAAUAAUAUCAAAAUGUAUUGAGAA
Long non-coding RNA from Salvelinus fontinalis (brook trout), 1786 nucleotides. RefSeq lists it as uncharacterized. The transcript is spliced from 3 exons. The record is from RefSeq and is a predicted model, not a curated record. Lineage: Eukaryota; Metazoa; Chordata; Actinopteri; Salmoniformes; Salmonidae.